AUUGAACGCUGGCGGCAGGCCUAACACAUGCAAGUCGAGCGGAUGAAGGGAGCUUGCUCCUGGAUUCAGCGGCGGACGGGUGAGUAAUGCCUAGGAAUCUGCCUGGUAGUGGGGGAUAACGUCCGGAAACGGGCGCUAAUACCGCAUACGUCCUGAGGGAGAAAGUGGGGGAUCUUCGGACCUCACGCUAUCAGAUGAGCCUAGGUCGGUUUAGCUAGUUGGUGGAGUAAAGGCCUACCAAGGCGACGAUCCGUAACUGGUCUGAGAGGAUGAUCAGUCACCCGGGAGCUGAGACACGGUCCAGACUCCUACGGGAGGCAGCAGUGGGGAAUAUUGGACAAUGGGCGAAAGCCUGAUCCAGCCAUGCCGCGUGUGUGAAGAAGGUCUUCGGAUCGUAAAGCCCUUUAAGUUGGGAGGAAGGGCAGUAAGUUAAUACCUUGCUGUUUUGACGUUACCAACAGAAUAAGCACCGGCUAACUUCGUG
Molecule: ribosomal RNA, 484 nt
Filed under: uncultured bacterium
Lineage: Bacteria
Description: partial 16S ribosomal RNA
Rfam family: Bacterial small subunit ribosomal RNA
Source: RNAcentral